GUCAGCCAGAGAAGAAUUAAAAGGAAAAAUCUCCCUCAGCUCCAAAUGCAGCAUUUGAAAGCAACAUUUUAAUCAGAUCAUUUCAUAUUUUACAGAGGAGUCAUCUUUUACAGGAAAAAAAAUUUUUUUUCCCCAACACACGAAGGGCAAAAAAAUGAGACCCAUGGGAAAUGAUUUCUUCACAAUGCGGCUAUUUAAUUGAUCUAUUUGGAAAUCUUCUACCAUUUUGCUGCAUGCUAAUUGGAAGUCAUUUUAAAGCAGAAUCAGCUUGGAUCACAAUUGAUUUAAUGCAGUGUAGCUGGCCGGCCCAACUUGGGAGGAAAGUGUGCAUGAAAACCCUGCUUUUACAAGCCCCGUGGAGAGAGCAGUUAUUUGGAUGAGGCAGAACAGCAGUCUAGAAGGCCAGUGAUGACACAGACCUUGGCGGCCCUUCAGAAGUGACAGCCACGUCUUCAGUUACACUCCUCACACCCCUCCGGUGUGGGGCAACAGAUCAGUGGAGCGCCCUCUGCCCACAAACCCUCCCCUCCGGAGCCUCCCCCAGCCCGGUUUCCAUGUUCAAAAUGUGCCUCCUGGAAAGAUGGAUCGAAAAACUCCCAAUUGUUUUGGCCUUUUCAAAGAGUCCCUAAGAUUCGGAUUACUUCGGGAGGAGGAUUAGAUGGGCUUCAGUGAAAGAUGACGCCUUGGGACUUUGUGAGCUCAUCUCACUGUCCAAAGCUCUGGAGUUGCAGUGAUGAGUAAGAGGGAUUUUCCCUCAAAGGACUUUUGGAGGAGCAGGUGGCAGAGAGUGCUACAAGCUGAUGCAGAGAAACCGGCAAAGUGAAAGAGAAGCAGUCCCAGACAGCUGGGUCUCCUGGAAGGCUUCCCAAAGGAGACAGCGUGUGAUCUGGCCUUAAAGGACGAGUGGAAUUUUCACAGGGAAGCCUGAACUUCAGGAUCUGAUGGACUGGACAGGAAGGAGACACUCCUCUGUGCUGCUAACGUGUUCUUAAGGACAGCUAAUAACUGAGCAAAGUCGGAGGUGGCCACAAGAAGGACAGCUAGUCCAGACUAGAAGAGAGAGUUAACCGUCCUCACACGGAGCAGCCUCUCCUUGUCAUUUGGCAUCAUCAUGGCUGUCCUGCUAAAGACAAAACACAUUUUCCAAAAGAAGGCUCUUUUGACCCCUUGGCUGCCGUUCCAAAAUGGGGAAAUAUUACCAGGAUGAAAAUUACGCAGGGCAAAUAUUCAUGAAGAAAUGUGGUCUAAUGGAAGUCGCGUCUAUAAAAUAUCCAAUGCUUAGAAAUAAAUGAGAAUUCUGUCAAUCA
Leopardus geoffroyi (Geoffroy's cat) is the source of this 1307-nucleotide long non-coding RNA. RefSeq lists it as uncharacterized. The transcript has 3 exons. The record is from RefSeq and is a predicted model, not a curated record. Lineage: Eukaryota; Metazoa; Chordata; Mammalia; Carnivora; Felidae.